UUCACGUUUUGCAUAUUCGUGCUCUUGGGUGUACUUGCCCGUGUGGUUGGUUAACAUCAAUUUUGGACGCCAUAAAAUGACUGGAGGAAUGUAGCUUCGAUCUCGUAUUGAAGUGUUAUAGCCUUCGGUAGAUGUGGUUUUCGAGAUUGAGGAUUGCAACGGAUACCCUUCGGGGCUACCUAUCUGAUCUCUGAUCGUUGCUCUGGUGCCGAAAGCUUGCUUACGGUUAUCAAAGUCGAUGGUCAAUAUGUUAGAAUGGGUUAAA
RNAcentral lists this ribosomal RNA (265 nucleotides) under uncultured Rhizophagus. RNAcentral's name for it is "partial 28S ribosomal RNA". The record is from RNAcentral. Lineage: Eukaryota; Fungi; Glomeromycota; Glomeromycetes; Glomerales; Glomeraceae.